Molecule: long non-coding RNA, 567 nt
Filed under: Chinchilla lanigera (long-tailed chinchilla)
Lineage: Eukaryota; Metazoa; Chordata; Mammalia; Rodentia; Chinchillidae
Description: lncRNA (ENSCLAG00000028156.1)
Source: RNAcentral
GUACUUUUCCCUCACAUUCUUAUUUGUUUUCAUGGAAGUCACCAUGUGUAGGGAAAACUAUGCUUUCAAGUUCUGACUGUGUGAUGAACUUCAGAACAAAACAGAAAACCCAGAGAUUUCAGAGGUGGAAGGACAUCUGGGGUGAAGACCAAGAAGAAGCCAGCCCACCUGCAGGGAUGGAGGUGAACUACUCCCAUGUGGCUGGGGACAGGAGCAGGGAGCUGCAUUUUCACAUGUCUGUUAGAAAACCAGGGAUUUCACAUUAGUCACUUCGGCAAGGUAACCCCCAUUUUAUAGAUGGUGAAACAGUGGCCCAGAGGGAAUUAGUACCUGGUCCAUGAUCAUACAGUGAGCUCAAAGCUGCCUGGCUCCUUCCAUGGGUUCCUGUCACCUCAACAGUCUAUAGUGAGGCCCAAGUGAUUGGUACUAAUUAGAAGACCCAAAGAUGCUUUCUUGGUCUGCUGGCCUGGUGUAGACCACCCCAGCAGUGAACAGUGGAUGUGCAGUGUAAUCCCGAUGUGGUCCAGAGUGACCGUGAGCUGGCAGUAAGUCCCCCGAGGAGCGCCC